RNA transcript from Triticum aestivum (bread wheat), 2086 nucleotides. It is a transcript of the gene named APO protein 3, mitochondrial, with no coding region annotated. The record is from RefSeq and is a predicted model, not a curated record. Lineage: Eukaryota; Viridiplantae; Streptophyta; Magnoliopsida; Poales; Poaceae. The transcript is spliced from 5 exons.
ACCUGCCUUCUGCCCCGGAUUGUAACCGGCGGCGCAUCUGCGCUGAGGGCAACGUGUUCGAUGAAAUGCCACCGGCUGGGCUUUUGGCUCGGCGAGUCGUGCGUGGGAGAGCUGAACCGCUGCUGAGGUCUUUGCGUCCUCUCAGAGCGUCUACACGAUGGCUGCACGCCGGCAGGGAGCCACAGGAAGAAGAGUUCCCUUACGCCGACGUGCCCCGGCCCGGGAGGAAAUGGGAGAGGAAGCCGUACGUGACACCGAUGAAGGUCCUCAUCCGGAGGGCCAAGGAGGAGAGACGGGCCCGGCAGGAGACCCCGUGCCGCGUGCUGGAGCACCCGCCCGCCAACGGCCUUCUCGUGCCGCACCUCGUCGAGGUUGCGCAUCGGGUACACAGAGCAAGGGAGAGGCUCCUCAGCGGCCUCGCCAGCCUUGUCAAAGGCGAAGCUGCCAUCCCGGUGAAGCGAUGCAGGUUCUGCUCGGAGGUGCACAUCGGUGACAUCGGGCACGAGAUCAGGACGUGUGAGGGUCCCAACAGCGCGUCUAGGAACUCCUUGCACGUGUGGCGGCCGGGGACAGUACGGGACGUCCUCGGCUUCCCAUACUGCUACCACCUGUUUGAUCGCGUUGGGAAGCCCAGGGUGGUGCACAAGGAGAAGUACGUCGUCCCAAGGCUCCCGGCCAUCCUGGAGCUAUGCAUCCAGGCAGGUGUCGACGUCGAGCGAUACCCAACCAAGAGGAGGGCAAGGCCAGUCUACUCAAUUGACGGCAGGAUUGCAGACUUCGAGCUGGACGAAGAAGACGGCUCCUCCGAAGCAGAAACAUCACCUGAAGCUUGGUCGUGUCCAUUGCCGCCGCCUCAAACGAGUUCUGCUUGUACUGCCUAUGCCGGUGAUCGAACAGAACAAGAGAUCACUGUGAGGGAGAUGAGCUCCAGGACGCUGCAGUCCUGGCUGGAGAUGCGGUCGGGCGCGGUGAAGCUGAUGAGGAAGUACAGUGUGGUCACCUGCGGGUACUGCCCAGAUGUGCAGGUCGGGCCCAAGGGCCACAAGGUGAGGAUGUGCAAGGCGAGCAAGCAUCAGCAGCGGGAUGGCCAGCACGCGUGGCAGGAAGCCACGGUGGACGACAUUGUCCCCCUGAACCAUGUCUGGCACGUCCGCGACCCGGCUGGCGACAGUGUGCCUCUCGCGAACGAACUCAAGAGGUACUAUGGCAAGGCCCCGGCUGUGGUGGAGCUCUGCGUGCGCGCGGGCGCCCCAAUACCGGCACAGUACAGGAGCAUGAUGCGGUUGGACGUCGUGCCGCCCGCACGCGACGAGUACGACCUCGUUGCCUGAGAGUCAGACUGGCAUUGCGGUGCCUGGUGCUCAUGCAUGUUUUCGACCCUCAGUUUGCCUGCAUGUUGGAGCUGCGCAAGGUUGAAAUGUUAACCUGAUGAUAACAUGCUCGCCGGUCCGAUUUCAGACCUUGCCGGCUGCUUAGCUAUUAUAAGUCACCAAAUGGUGAAUGGGAUAUUUCAGGAAGAUUUUCAUUCAUUUCCCUGUAGCUGCGCAGGCCAAUUUGUUGUACUUAAUUUUACUCGCACAUCAGUUUGGAGCUAUCUUAGUAAGCUACAUGCCAAAUGAAAAAAAAAGAGAUAAAGUUGUUGUGCUAUUAGCUAUAUCAUGUUAACAUGCAACCGUGUAUUUGAUUGGUAAAUUUGGUAUCUAGGUAGAAAUACUGUGUUGAAAAAGAAACACAUGUCCUGAAAAUACAGUUAGUCCGCUGUACUGGUGUUUCCUGUUCUAGAAAUAUAAAUUGGCAUAAGAAAAACAUCAGCUCCUUUACGGGGAAAAAGAUGAAAAGCACCGGGUUGGGCCGGUGUGGUCUAUACUUUGAGCAGUGCUGGUCUGCAGCCGCUCCCAUGAUACGCUUGGUGAUGCCAUGAGUAGCAAUAAGUUCUGCAUGUCUUUCAGAAACAUCGUUCAUCUCUAUCAUCAUUUUGUCACAUGUACAUCUUUUCUCGCGCAUUUCACUGUCAAGGCAUAUCCAUCUCUAUUCUUCUCUGCCUUUUCCUCUCAAAGUUUCUACAAUUGCUGGUCUUUUCUGGUGG